Polyodon spathula (Mississippi paddlefish) is the source of this 2005-nucleotide long non-coding RNA. RefSeq lists it as uncharacterized. The record is from RefSeq and is a predicted model, not a curated record. The transcript has 7 exons. NCBI's taxonomy places the organism in Eukaryota, Metazoa, Chordata, Actinopteri, Acipenseriformes, Polyodontidae.
CUUCCAUACCAGAGAAGCAGAGACACAGAGAGACUAUAAAAUAGAGGGAUCAGUCUGGGAUCCUAACCCUCCGUCCCUCACUCUUCCUCGAUCUGGAAUCUAAAUCUCAUUCUCUGACUGACAGGUGCACACCAGAUGGGCUGCGGAAACUCAACAGCCACCACCACCUCUAGUGGGGGUCCCGCUGGAGCUGCGAACGAGGAGGAAGAAAGGACAGAAGAGUCCAUGUCAGAUGAUGAAAAAAAAAGGAAUUACGGCGGGGUAUAUGUGGGGCUGCCAGCGGACCCUGCCACAGUAGCUGCCAGCCAAGCCAAGUCAAGUGGGACAGACUAGAAGACAAUAAAGAAUAAACAGAAGUACUCAACAUGAAAAGACCUCGUCCAAUGAGAAUCCUGCUCUCCUGAGUGUUCCAAGUCCACUGGAGAUAUUCCAACCGCGACGGUAUCCCUGCAGUCAGAUCCACCUCCAGCAGGGGGUGCUGAGACAGACAGAACAUACACAACUGUAACAAACCAUCAGGGCUCUCAUAGGCAGAUUUAAAAACGUGAACACGACACAGAAACCAGAAGCCAUGCGUUCGAGUGCUUCAGUAGUUGAUAGUUAUGAAAAGAAACUGCAGAGUUUCAUUGAAUUCCCAGGAGUAACUUUAAAGGCUUUAAUGAUCACCAAUUAUUAUAAUAGUUACUAAACCAUUAGCAGUAAAUAUGCAGCAGUGUAUUGAUAAAUGUGUUAUAAAGGAUGUUAGAAAUUCAUAUUAACAUUGAUAAUUACUGCAUAACAGACCAAAGCAAUACAUGGUUAUAAGAACAUCUAACUGAGGCAUUUUAAAGGAAACCAUGUCCUUGCUUUAUGACACAAAGCUUUACUCUAGUAAUGUGUUCUUCACAUGUUAUUACGUCAUCAAAACAUGUAAUAACAUGACAAGACAUUUUAGAAAUGGAUUCUUAAACUAGCACAUAAUCAAGGUUAUCUAUUCAUUCAGUUUAUUAUCCCAGACCUGGCUUAAACAUCUAUUACUCAGGAACCAGGUCAUUACUGUAUUAAUUACUGUUUAACUCCUAUUGGUUAUUGCUUGGGUAAUAUAAAGCUUGAUCACAAUGUUAUUCUAUCUCUGAAUCCACAUUGCUAUGGAGCGAAGCACAUCGCAAACAAGCUUGACACAAACUUGAAGUUUCAGGUUAGUGGUGUUGUGGUCUUUGGACACUCAUUUAUUCACCAAACGCAUAGGAAAAAAGCCAACUAUUAACAUUUUGUUUAUUCUCAAGAUGUUACAACUCUGAGGUAGUGUUUAAGACAGAUAUGUUUAGAAUACUUAUUUCUGGGGCACGGGGGGGGAAAUGGAGGUUAGGGUCAUGACAUCAAUCCUGCCUAUUAAAUCCAGCACCAUGACAAUUCAUGCCAUGCUUACUGAGCUGCUUCAUAUCGGACGGGACACUACACAUCCAUCAAGAACAUUUUUUUUUUUUAUUGUAAUAUCGUAAAGAGCAAAGUUUUUUUUUCUAACUUUGCUAAUAGUGUCAUUCUAUAUCUGUGAAACGUCUUGAGGCAGAGGGCUUUCCUGCAGGAUCUGCAUUAAGAACCAAAAAUAGAAAUCCUUCCCGCAUCUCACUUCAUGAGAGUAAACAUCUCUAAUUCCAUAUCAUUAAUACUGAGUAUGCAAUGAGGGGGCUUUUAUAUUGCAGUCUGUUUUAAGGAUAUGAAGUAGUCAUUCUUCCUGCAUCCCACUUAUUGAGAGUAAAUAUCUCUAAUUCCAUAUCAUUAAUACUGAGUACGGAGGCGCCUGGAUUGUACUAAUAUUUGGUGAAUAAUGUGCUCUACAAAAUAGUUGCUUAGUGUAACACUAUUGCCUAGCCUAGCACAGAGCGCCUUGCUAAUCCUAAACUAAAUAAAUAUCUAAUCUGACUCAAGACCCUAAUUUUAAGAACCCAAAUGAAGGGGGUCCCCAAAUGGCUCACCUUGUAAAAGCAUUGCCUCGUGGUGUGCAGUGUGAGUCGUACAACCAGAG